UGACACGUAGGCACCAAGCGUUGUCCGGAUUUAUUGGGCGUAAAGAGCUCGUAGGCGGUUCGGUAAGUCGGGUGUGAAAACUCGGGGCUUAACCCCGAGCCUGCAUCCGAUACUGCUGUGACUAGAGUUCGGUAGGGGAGUGGGGAAUUCCUAGUGUAGCGGUGAAAUGCGCAGAUAUUAGGAGGAACACCGGUGGCGAAGGCGCCACUCUGGGCCGAUACUGACGCUGAGGAGCGAAAGCGUGGGUAGCAAACAGG
Molecule: ribosomal RNA, 257 nt
Filed under: uncultured bacterium
Lineage: Bacteria
Description: partial 16S ribosomal RNA
Rfam family: Bacterial small subunit ribosomal RNA
Source: RNAcentral